GCCUACUGUUUAAUUUUGAGGGUUCGUUUUUACGAAUACUCAAAAUUAGCACUUUAAGCAACGGGAGUUAUCCGUUGGCGCUGUGCGUUAGCACUUUGAAAACUGCAUAUAUAUAUUUAGUGAUAUGACAUCUAAUUUGUAAUAUAUAAAGCUGAUAACUUUUUAAAAUUAUCGAAGUUGAUAGCUUCUAAUCUAUCAAACCUUUUUAACUGGUCAA
This 217-nucleotide unclassified non-coding RNA is filed under the name Clostridioides difficile. RNAcentral describes it as "16S-23S ribosomal RNA intergenic spacer (ISR)". The record is from RNAcentral. Lineage: Bacteria; Bacillati; Bacillota; Clostridia; Peptostreptococcales; Peptostreptococcaceae.